GACGAACGCUGGCGGCGUGCCUAAUACAUGCAAGUAGAACGCUUAAGAGAGGAGCUUGCUCUUCUUGGAUGAGUUGCGAACGGGUGAGUAACGCGUAGGUAACCUGCCUUGUAGCGGGGGAUAACUAUUGGAAACGAUAGCUAAUACCGCAUAACAAUGGAUGACACAUGUCAUUUAUUUGAAAGGGGCAAUUGCUCCACUACAAGAUGGACCUGCGUUGUAUUAGCUAGUAGGUGAGGUAACGGCUCACCUAGGCGGCGAAUCAUAGCCGAGCUGAAAGGGUGGUUGGCCCACCUGGGAAUGAGACCACGCCCAGGCUCCCACGGGAAGCAGCAGUAGGGGAUCUUCGGCAAUAGGGGCAACCCUGACCGAGCAACGCCGCGUGGGUGAAGAAGGUUUUCGGGUCGGAAAGCUCUGUUGUAAGUCAAGAAAGAGCGUGAGAGUGGAAAGUUCACACUGUGACGGUAGCUUACCAGAAAGCGACGGCUAACUACGUG
This 497-nucleotide ribosomal RNA is filed under the name uncultured bacterium. Its description in RNAcentral is "partial 16S ribosomal RNA". It matches the Rfam family "Bacterial small subunit ribosomal RNA", at positions 28 to 507 of the family's 1533-position model. The record is from RNAcentral.